This 82-nucleotide transfer RNA is filed under the name bacterium. RNAcentral's name for it is "tRNA-Leu". It matches the Rfam family "tRNA". Rfam says of the family: Transfer RNA (tRNA) molecules are approximately 80 nucleotides in length. Their secondary structure includes four short double-helical elements and three loops (D, anti-codon, and T loops). The record is from RNAcentral.
GCCCGGGUGGUGGAACUGGUAGACACGUGCGCUUGAGGGGCGUAUGGCGAGAGCCGUGCGGGUUCAACUCCCGCCCCGGGCA